This 471-nucleotide ribosomal RNA is filed under the name uncultured bacterium. Its description in RNAcentral is "partial 16S ribosomal RNA". The record is from RNAcentral.
CACGUAGUUAGCCGGUGCUUAUUCAUAAGUUACCGUCAUAUUCUUCACUUAUAAAAGCAGUUUACAACCCGAAGGCCUUCAUCCUGCACGCGGCGUUGCUCCAUCAGGCUUUCGCCCAUUGUGGAAGAUUCCUCACUGCUGCCUCCCGUAGGAGUCUGGACCGUGUCUCAGUUCCAGUCUGGCUGGUCAUCCUCUCAGACCAGCUAACGAUCGUCGACUUGGUGAGCCUUUACCUCACCAACUAUCUAAUCGUACGCAGGCUGCUCCCAAAGCGGAUAAAUCCUUUAAUCCGAAGAUCAUAUGCGGCAUUAGACACCGUUUCCGAUGCUUAUUCCUCACUUUGGGGCACAUUCCUACGCGUUACUCAGCCGUUCGCCGCUCGUCAGCAUCUAGUAAACUAGACCUGUUACCGCUCGACUUGCAUGUGUUAGGCACGCCGCCAGCAUUCAUCCUGAGCCAGGAUCAAACUCU